UUCAUGAUAACAAUUUAAAUUUACAUACAAAAUGGCGUUAAAUUCCAAGACGUCACACAGCGUCAAUUGACCAGUAAGGGUCAAUGAAUAUGCAACAUGUGGUUAUUGACAUUUGUUCAGCAAAAACAAACCGGUUUUUUGUAUUAAUUAUCUCGAUAAUUAUGCAAAUCAUUUAUCGACAGUAUUUCUCUUAAUUUUACUUACUUAUCUGAACUUAAAAGUGUUCACAAUAUUUAUGAAAAUAAAUAGUGAUUAAAACAAAAACUUGUUAAGGUUAUAAUAAACAAUUGUGAGUUUUUAUGAUAAAUGUUAGAAAAAAGUUUGUUGAAAAUAUUAGUGAAUAAUUUAAUUAAUAUACAAUAAUGAUCCAAAAUAUUCAGUUAACCAUAAAAUACAUUACAACAAAAAGUUGCUUCGUAUAUUUAUCACAUCAUUUAACUAAUAAAUUACCACCAACCGUGCAAGUGGUGAAAGUAACUCAUGUUGAUGAUGUAAAUGAAGUUUUUUAUUUUUCAUUUAAUCGUUCACAAUCAUUCAGAGAUAACAAUUCAAUAGGAAUUUCUUCAACUUUUGCUCAACUACUAGACUUUAGAGAAGGUAUUUAUGUAAACAUUACAUUUGUAGAUAACCUACCAACUUUAUCAUCAAUCGAUGUUAUUCCUCGAAGCGAAGAAGAUCUUGAAAUAGUCAAAUUACGCUCGAAUAAAUUGCAAGGAAUUAUUUUACAACAAAUAAAUGUUGUUACUUUAAAUCAACCAAUUGUUAUUUGGCUGUCGAAAAAUUUGAAUGUUGUUUUGUAUGUUGAUAAAUUAUCACCCAAAUUCAAAUACGGAAAAUUAGUCGAAUUUACUGAAGUUAAUGUUCAAGAGUCAAUUAAAGAUGAUAAAAGAUCACACAAAGUACAAAAAAGUAACGAUUUGGAUACAGUUAAUGAUAAAUAUUCUCUAUCAAUUGUUAGAAUUAAUCCACUGCCAACUUUAAUUGAAGAAGUGAUUUGUAAUAAUUAUAGCCCAACGAACAAAAUUUAUUGUGAUUUGAAUAUUUUCAUACAUUUAUCUAAAGCAAUUAAAAUAUCUUCAGGUGUGGAAACAUGUGAAUACUUUUUUUGUAAAUUGGAAAAAGUACAAAAUAACAAUGAACAAAGACGUUUAAUAAUGAAUGAACAAAAAGAUUGGUUCAACAAUAGAGAAAUGAUCAUAAAGGUGAUAAUUAUUGAAAAUAUUAAAAACUUUGAUGAAUUUUGUUGCCAACAAUUGAAUACAAUAAACGACAAUAAUGUAUUUGCAUGUCGAAAUUUACUAAGACAGCUGGAUUUAAAAUUAGGUAGUAAAGUAUUUUUUAAGAAAAUUACUGUUGAGAAGCAAAAUGUAACUGAAAUUAAGUUAAUUCCCAUAAAUAAUGAAAUUAGUCAAGAACUUUUUGAUUCUUAUAUCAAGCGAUUCGAUGUUUAUGAUGAAAUUUUAAUUAAUUCAAAUACACAAAUAUUUUUAUCACCAGAAGUCAGUUGUGAAAUUAAACUCGUUCCUGAAACAAUCAAUUACAGUUUAGUCAAGAUAGAUAAGAUCAAAACACUACCACUUAGAAUUCUUCCUAAAAUCUUUAAUAACUCUUUAUCAUCUGUUGGACAAGAAAACAUAAAAUCACGAAUUAUUUUAACAAAUGCGAUCAAAAAAAUUAUAAAUGAUUGUAAACUAGUUUUUGAAUUAAGGUUGAAAACAUGUCAAUCAUCAGAAAUUAUUUACAACAAAGAAAAUAUUUUAAUCUGUGGAGGCACUGGAACAGGAAAAACAAUAUUGUGCGAAAUUAUUAAACAACAAAUUCAACAGCCACCGUAUUUAUUUCAUGUUGAGACAAUAAAUUGUAAGAAAUUAAAAGGGAAAAAAGUAGAAAUUGUACAGAAAUUUUUGAUUUCAACAAUGUCUAAUUGUGCUUAUUAUCAGCCAUCUUUAUUAAUUUUUGAUAAUAUUGAUUGCAUCACAAACAACGAUGUUAGUGAGUAUGAAGAAAAUACUCCUGAUUCAAUAAAUGCGGCAAGAAUAACUGAUUCAAUAAUAAAUAUCGUUACAAAUUUUCAAACAGCUCAUUGUUUAAAUGUCAUUGCUACUUGUUUAAAUAUAAGUAGACUUGGAAAUCAAUUUAAAACACUUGGAGGAAUAAAGUUUUUCAAUUUUGUGUACCAUAUACCAAUUUUGGAGAAAAAAGAUCGUCUUAAAAUUAUUCGAGCAAAUUUGGAACAUAAACAGUUAGAUUUUGAUACAACAAUCGAUUGGGAUUUUAUUGGUGAUAAAACAGAAGGCUUUAUAGUUCAAGAUAUAGUUGAUUUGGUUGAAAAAAUAUCUUAUGUAGCUUGGAGGAAGUCAGUUUAUAAUUCGAAUGAAAAAAAUGAGAUAACAAUAACCAAUAAUGAUUUUGUAGAAGUUACUAAGAACUAUAAUCCUAUCGCUUUACAUGGAGUUUCAUUAUUUACUGAAACUGGCUAUAGUUGGGAUGAAAUAGGAGGUUUAAAAGAUGUGAAAGAAUGUUUAGUUCAAUUAUUACAAUGGCCAUUGAGUUACAUUGAAUUAUUCAGUAAUGCUCCUAUUAAACAACAAACAGGAAUUUUACUGUAUGGAAUGCCGGGAACUGGUAAAACCAUGAUUGCGGGUGCAGUUGCUAGAGAAUGUGGUCUCAACUUCAUAAGUAUUAAGGGCCCUGAAUUGUUAUCGAAAUAUAUUGGUGCCAGUGAAGAAGCGGUUCGAGAUGUUUUUGACAGAGCACAAAGAGCCGCACCUUGUGUAUUAUUUUUCGACGAGUUCGAAAGUCUCGCCCCUCGUCGUGGACAUGAUUCUACAGGUGUUACAGACCGCAUUGUUAAUCAAUUGUUAACACAAUUGGAUGGUAUAGAAAGAAGAGAAGGAGUUGCAAUUGUCGCUGCAUCAUCCCGUCCAGAUUUAUUAGAUCCUGCUUUAUUGAGACCUGGUCGAUUGAACAGAUUGCUUCUAUGUCCCUUACCACAAGAGAAUGAUCGACUUGACAUUUUGAACGUUCUUUGUAAAAAAUAUCAGUUAGAUAGUGAGGACUUCGAUCUAGAGCUAUUAGCAAAAAUGACAGAAGGGUUCACAGGUGCAGAUCUGUGUUCAAUAUUUAAUCAAUCGAAAUUGGAUCUAAUCGAUGAGAAUGAUGCAAAGGUAGAAAAGAGUACGCAUGGAAAAUAUUAGAUGUGUCAGAAGAAAAAAAAAAUGAGUUUAUCAAGUUCAACUAAUGAUAGUGAAAUUAAUUUUGAAGAAGAAGCUAAAGCAAUUAGCAAUGAAGCUGCUUCCAAAAAAAUCAAAUGAAAAAUAUAUGCUAUGUUACAAUGACUUUAUUCAGUGGCAAAAAAACGUAAAACUAAUGUGAUAGAUGAAAACGUUUUAUUGGUAUAUUUUGAUGAAUUAACGAUUGAAAACAUUAAUGAAAAAUAAUGGUAAAGGACAACAAUCAAAGAACGCUGUGAUCUUAACCUGGGUUGAAAUUAACAAGUUUUUGAAAGAAGCACCAAAUCAUGCGUAUUUAGCUACAAAGUUUGGUGAACCAUUUGGAAUUAUUAUCACUCAAAGGCAUUUUUUGAAUGCGUUAGAAUCUACUCAGCCUUCUUUAACACCAACAGAAGUCGC
RNAcentral lists this unclassified non-coding RNA (3632 nucleotides) under Chelonus insularis. RNAcentral's name for it is "cell division cycle protein 48 homolog, transcript variant X2". Lineage: Eukaryota; Metazoa; Arthropoda; Insecta; Hymenoptera; Braconidae. The record is from RNAcentral.